GCAUAUCAUAAGCGGAGGAAAAGAAACCAACAGGGGAUUGCCUCAGUAACGGCGAGUGAAGCGGCAACAGCUCAAAUUUGAAAUCUGGCCCUCUCAGGGUCCGAGUUGUAAUUUGGAGAAGAUGCUUCGGGUGUGGCCCCGGUCUAAGUUCCUUGGAACAGGACGUCACAGAGGGUGAGAAUCCCGUACGUGGCCGGUGGCCGCGCCCAUGUGAAGCUCUUUCGACGAGUCGAGUUGUUUGGGAAUGCAGCUCAAAAUGGGUGGUAUAUUUCAUCUAAAGCUAAAUAUUGGCCAGAGACCGAUAGCGCACAAGUAGAGUGAUCGAAAGAUGAAAAGCACUUUGGAAAGAGAGUUAAACAGUACGUGAAAUUGUUGAAAGGGAAGCGCUUGCAACCAGACUUGCGCGCGGCCGAUCAUCCGGUGCUCGCACCGGUGCACUCGACCGCGCGCAGGCCAGCAUCGGUUUGGGCGGUUGGAUAAAGGCCCCAGGAAUGUGGCUCUCUUCGGGGGAGUGUUAUAGCCUGGGGCGCAAUGCAGCCCGCCCGGACCGAGGACCGCGCUUCGGCUAGGAUGCUGGCGUAAUGGUUGUCAGCGACCCGUCUUGAAACACGGACCAAGGAGUCUAACAUCUAUGCGAGUGUUUGGGUGCUAAACCCAUACGCGUAAUGAAAGUGAACGGAGGUGAGAACCCUUAAGGGUGCAUCAUCGACCGAUCCUGAUGUCUUCGGAUGGAUUUGAGUAAGAGCAUAGCUGUUGGGACCCGAAAGAUGGUGAACUAUGCCUGAAUAGGGUGAAGCCAGAGGAAACUCUGGUGGAGGCUCGCAGCGGUUCUGACGUGCAAAUCGAUCGUCAAAUUUGGGCAUAGGGGCGAAAGACUAAUCGAACCAUCUAGUAGCUGGGUCUGCGA
This 907-nucleotide ribosomal RNA is filed under the name Myxotrichum deflexum. Its description in RNAcentral is "LSU rRNA". It matches the Rfam family "Eukaryotic large subunit ribosomal RNA", at positions 38 to 964 of the family's 3401-position model. Lineage: Eukaryota; Fungi; Ascomycota; Leotiomycetes; Myxotrichaceae. The record is from RNAcentral.